Molecule: ribosomal RNA, 1672 nt
Filed under: Mesorhynchus terminostylis
Lineage: Eukaryota; Metazoa; Platyhelminthes; Rhabdocoela; Polycystididae
Description: eukaryotic LSU rRNA
Rfam family: Eukaryotic large subunit ribosomal RNA
Source: RNAcentral
CGCUGAACUUAAGCAUAUCAUUAAGCGGAGGAAAAGAAACUAACAAGGAUUCCCUUAGUAGCGGCGAGCGAACAGGGAUAAGCCCAGAACCGAAUCCUGCGGAGUAAUCUGCUAGGAAAUGUGGUGUUUGGUUCAAGCCUUACGGCGUACUGGAGUUGUUCUAAGUCCACUUGAUUGUGGCAUUGUUCCCACAGAGGGUGUAAGGCCCGUAUGAACAAUACAGUGCGUCCAGGGUUUGUUCCUAGAGUCGGGUUGUUUGGGAAUGCAGCCCAAAUUGGGUGGUAAACUCCAUCCAAGGCUAAAUACAACACGAGUCCGAUAGCGAACAAGUACCAUGAGGGAAAGUUGAAAAGAACUUUGAAGAGAGAGUUCAAUAGUGCGUGAAACCGCUCAGAGGUAAACAGACAGAGCUGAAGAUGAGCAGUUGUAGUGGAGUUUUGUUGACGCUGCUUCUUUGUUGGCGACCUUUCGGCGCUAACUUUGAGGAUUUGUGUGGACACUGUUCUGUUGCGCUGUUCAACACUACGACCGGUAGUUAGGGAGGCCUGGCGUUCGCAGAAGGUGGCUCUGAACUUGUUUGGAGUGUUAUAGCUGCGGAUUACAGCGUUUCCUGAGUACUGUUUUGCAAUAAGCCAUAUACGGCACACAUGGUGCUUUUGGCUGGGAAGGGGUAAUACGGAUCAUUUAACGAUUUGUGUUGUUUCCUUUCUUGUCGAUGGUAUCCUCUGUGGUCAUUAUUGUAGUUGUAGUGCAAUGGUAGGCAUCUGCCUGACCCGUCUUGAAACACGGACCAAGGAGUUUAGCACAUACGCGAGUCAUGGGGUUCUACGAAACCUAAAGGCGCAGUGAAGGUAAAGACCUGAUUUUUCAGGUUGAGGUAAGAUCCUGGUUACAAUGUGAUUUUUCACAUGUGCUGGGCGCAUUACCGGCUCGUCUCAUGCUUUUCAAGUGAGGCGAAGCAAGAGCGUAUGUGCUGAGACCCGAAAGAUGGUGAACUAUGCUUGUGUAGGUUGAAGCCAGAGGAAACUCUGGUGGAGGACCGUAGCGAUUCUGACGUGCAAAUCGAUCGUCAAACAUGAGUAUAGGGGCGAAAGACUAAUCGAACCAUCUAGUAGCUGGUUCCCUUCGAAGUUUCCCUCAGGAUAGCUGGCACUCGGGAAACAAGCAGUUUUAUCCGGUAAAGCGAAUGAUUAGCAGUAUUGGGGAUGAAAUAUUCUCAACUGAUUCUCAAACUUUAAAUGGGUGAGAAGCUUAGCUCUCUUAAUUUGGAGUUAAGCAUUGAAUGUGAGUGCCUAGUGGGCCAUUUUUGGUAAGCAGAACUGGCGCUGUGGGAUGAACCAAACGUCUGGUUACGGAGCCAAACAUAACGCUCAUGAGAAACCACAAAAGGUGUUGGUUGAUUUUGACAGCAGGACGGUGGCCAUGGAAGUCGGAAUCCGCUAAGGAGUGUGUAACAACUCACCUGCCGAAUCAACCAGCCCUGAAAAUGGAUGGCGCUAGAGCGUUGGUCCUAUACCAGACCGUUACCACAAAUUGCAAUGUACGUGGUAACGAGUAGAAGGGCGCCGUGGUGGGCAUUGAAGCUUCGGUCGUGAGACUGGGUGGAGCCGCCACGGGUGCAGAUCUUGGUGGUAGUAGCAAAUAUUCAAGUGAGAACCUUGAAGACUGAAGU